AUUGGAGGGAUUUUUCUGGUGCAGACGGAUUGAGUCCGGUUCUUUGCAGCCUUGGGGCAAGUACCUAUACGCCAGUCUAGAUCUGUCUAUAAACCACUGGCAUCAUUCUCACAGGCAGCAAAUGACUUUUCUGUCACUCUACCGCUCACUGAAGGACGUUUUCUGAAGGCAAAAGAAUGAGAUCAACGACUGUCAACUUCAUGCAACAGUUUGCGGAGAAUCCUGCCGAGAAAGAAGGCUUCAGUCUGUCAGCCUGUGAGCCGCCGAAUUCCCUCCAUCACAUCACACACUAUUAGAGGUUUUAGGCACAAAGUGGUUGUGUUCUGGUUCCAGUUCUGCACCGGUGUGGUUUGAUUUAUAUGCGGUUAAUGGAUGUUAUCCUGGUAUGGAUGGCCGAUUACAUAUGGCAUCACAACGCUGUUUCCAGCAGGAAGAACCGGAACAUGUGGAGUUUGGUCCAGUUCUUUGAUCUCAGAUCCAGACAAACACAAAGACUCCAUUGAUCGAAGCCAAAGGUGUCCUUGUUGAUUUCAUCUCCAUUGUGUGUUGAACCUCCAUUAGGAUGUUGUGGGACGCUCCAUGUAUCUUUUCCGUGGCCUGGCUGGGUGUUGACGAAAUGGUCUGUUGUAAAUAAAUGAUGAGCAGAUCUGUUUACAGACACGUACAAAAGCUUGAAGACAUUCCCAGGGUGUAGGAUACCCUGCCCGCAGGCCUUCGCCAUUCAUUCAGCAGCUUUUCUGUGAACAGAGGGAGAGAAAAAGAGAUCAAAAAGAGAAGAAUGGACUGUUGGUGAAGUUCAUGACCUCCUGACUGUGGCCCAGUGAUUUACUGCGUGUCCUGGAGUUCAUCGGCUGCGUUUGGCUCCAUCUCUACACAACUCCAGAUCUUCAUUCAUCAGGGGAGCGCGGCACGACGUUCCCGACAUCCUCAUCUCUCCCUUUCCUCUUUGUUCCCCAUCUGCUGUGGCUCAAGGCAAAUGAGGAGAUCGGUGGCUUUUGGGUGGACCGUACAUUCAGCUCGAUCCGGCCGGCUGCGCGAGAUGGAGGGAACCACGAGGUGACGGUGAUUAGCUUUGAGUGUUGAGUUUGGAUGGAGCUCCCAUUUUUCUCUUUUUGCAAUCCAAACGUGGACCUCCAGCCAUGUUGGUGGUGUUAAUAAAUGCAGCGUCCGGACGGCCACCAGACACAGGCCCCUUUCACCUGCCCUGCGGGACGUGCCAUCUUUCCGACAGACAGAAAAUAAACAGCAGCCUUGCAGGCGUUGAGAGACAGACAAAUGGCCCUCCAAAUCGAAAAGCAAUGAAAUAAAUGUUGGCGCCUGCAGCAGCUUGAGCUCAUUUGGACCUGAGAGGGUUUUGAUCCAUGCCAGCACUUUGGCAAUACAUUACUAUCGUACGCUUCAGAUUACUGGACAUGUAUGAAUCACGCACGCAUUGCAUUUACACACUGUAAAAAAAUAUUGUUGGUUUAACUUAAAAAAUUA
Molecule: non-coding RNA, 1482 nt
Organism: Pimephales promelas (fathead minnow)
Lineage: Eukaryota; Metazoa; Chordata; Actinopteri; Cypriniformes; Leuciscidae
Source: RefSeq, a predicted model, not a curated record